This 433-nucleotide ribosomal RNA is filed under the name uncultured soil bacterium. RNAcentral's name for it is "bacterial SSU rRNA". It matches the Rfam family "Bacterial small subunit ribosomal RNA", at positions 26 to 456 of the family's 1533-position model. The record is from RNAcentral.
AGAGUGAACGCUGGCGGUAGGCCUAACACAUGCAAGUCGAACGGCAGCACAGUGGUAGCAAUACCAUGGGUGGCGAGUGGCGGACGGGUGAGGAAUACAUCGGAAUCUACCUUUUCGUGGGGGAUAACGUAGGGAAACUUACGCUAAUACCGCAUAAGACCUUCGGGUGAAAGCCGGGGACCUUCGGGCCUGGCGCGGAUAGAUGAGCCGAUGUCGGAUUAGCUUGUUGGCGGGGUAAAAGCCCACCAAGGCUACGAUCAGUAGCUGGUCUGAGAGGAUGACCAGCCACAUUGGGACUGAGACACGGCCCAAACUCCUACGGGAGGCAGCAGUGGGAAUCUUGCGCAAUGGGCGAAAGCCUGACGCAGCCAUGCCGCGUGUAUGAUGAAGGUCUUAGGAUUGUAAAAUACUUUCACCGGUGAAGAUAAAUGAC